AGACAAAAAAUAUAAUUAAAUUUUUAUUAGUGUUAUAAUUAAAUGAUAUUAAAUUUAAUUUAAUGUAUGAUUAAAUUUAUUAGGUGAAAUUUUAAAUUUAAUAUAAGUUAAUUUGAAGUUAUUGAGGUUAUGAAAUUUUAUUAUUAGACUAGGAUUAGAUACCCUAUUAUUAAAAAUGUAAAAUUAAAAUGCUAAAGUAGUAUUAGUUAUGUGCUUGAAAUUUAAAGAAUUUGGCGGUAUUUUAGUCUAUUCAGAGGAACCUGUUCUAUAAUUGAUAGUCCACGAUUUAUAAUACUUAUUUUAAAGGUUUGUAUAUCGUCGUAGGUUGAAUAUUUUACAAGAAUGUGAAUAUUCAAAAUUCUUAAUUAGGAAGAAAAUCAGAUCAAGAUGCAGUGUAUAAAUAAGAAGAAAUGGGUUACAAUAAAUUUAUUUAAAUGGUUUAAAUAAUUAAAGUUAUUUAAUAAAGUGGAUUUGAUAGUAAUUUAAUUUAAUUUAAUUAGAUGAUUUAAGCUCUAAAAUAUGCACAUAUCGCCCGUCACUCCCACCCUAAGGUGGGAUAAGUCGUAACAAAGUAGGUGUACUGGAAAG
RNAcentral lists this ribosomal RNA (588 nucleotides) under Trox sp. TRO01. RNAcentral describes it as "partial 12S ribosomal RNA". Lineage: Eukaryota; Metazoa; Arthropoda; Insecta; Coleoptera; Trogidae. The record is from RNAcentral.